This is a long non-coding RNA of Apis dorsata (giant honeybee), 959 nucleotides long. RefSeq lists it as uncharacterized. NCBI's taxonomy places the organism in Eukaryota, Metazoa, Arthropoda, Insecta, Hymenoptera, Apidae. The record is from RefSeq and is a predicted model, not a curated record. The transcript is spliced from 3 exons.
AUAUCGAAUAGAAUUCUUAAUUUUUUAGUUUCCAAUCAAUCGUUUAUCAAACGUGAUCGCGAUUACAUUUCACAAGUAUAACGGAUAGGCAGUCAUAGUUUAACAAACUACAUUCUCAUUUUUAACAGCUGAAAACAUGUUAGUAGUUAGGACAAAUUCCUGACGAUGGCGCGCUAAGAUUAUUCGAUCGCGGGAUAUCUUUACGACAGUAUAUAAAUCUUUUGCUCCUGUUGAAUCACUGCUUCAUAGUCGCGAUUAAUUUCGAAUCAGUGAGGACGUUGCAAAUCGUUUAAAUCUUCAUAAAACACGCUUUUUGAAUUUAUACGAGGCAAUGAAUCAUUCGUUGACAGAGCAAAACCGCGAUGAUGACUCGUUGAAAACCAUUCAGAAUUCAAGGUGGACAUUUUGGAAAGAAAGAAGCUUGUCUAGGGAAAUGAUAUUUCCAAUAAUCUGCUAUAUUUUUCAUAUCAGAGCGUCGUGCCUGUAAAAAUUUAAGAAACACACAGAAUGUAACGAAAGAAUUCCUGCUGCGUUUCCUCCUAGCAAGAGGAGAACAGUAAUAGACGCACAGUCUGUUACCUGAACCACCAGCCAUAGAAUAAGUAAAGGGAAAAAGUUGGCAUGAAAAAAAAUUCUUCCGCGUCGAGCGGCUGUUGGCCGGGUUACGUCCUUCCUGGAGAACGAGCAAAAAAAUUGGCCAGCCCUUUUUUUUAUACCUCCACUAUGGCCAUUUGACCGGCAAGGAUACCGUUGCUCCUCUCCAAAGAUACCGCUAGAUUGCUUUCCUGUUAGAAACGAGAUCAUGGCCAUCUUUCACGAUACAAGGCGUUGCAACCAUCGAUGGAAGGCUUCUUCGUUUCCUCGAUGCUUGAGAGAGUAAAAAAAAAACUCGCAGAAAGGGUAGUAAAAGGUGUGUAAAUUGGAUGGAGUUUUGGGAAAGAGAUGUGAGAGGAUUGAUG